CUUGUUCUCCAAAUAUUUUCCGGAGGACUGAGAGGAAAACAUGAGUAUGCAGUAGGUGGAGCAGAAAACACAUCAGAAAUGGCCAUGCCUCCACUUGGAGGAGGUACUCAUUGCACUUGUACACAUUGUCGGAGUGCCCUCCUCCUCCUGGAGUUUCACGGUCAUGCCUCAGCUGGGGAAGACUGCGAGGGAGUCUUUGGGAAGCUGAAGGAAGUCCUGAAAGAACACAAGGGCAAGAAUUCCUACCAGAAGUGUUGUGAAAUGAGUGAAACCUGGAGUUCAAAGACCUUGGCAGCAAGAAUGGAGGAGUGUGCUGAAUUCGGCAGGAUUUUUGAAACAGAACAUGGAGGAAGUGUAUCAAGUGCAUGUCAAUUGUUUUGGAAAAUCUGUAUC
This 393-nucleotide long non-coding RNA is filed under the name Chrysemys picta bellii (western painted turtle). RNAcentral describes it as "lncRNA (ENSCPBG00000022888.1)". The record is from RNAcentral. Lineage: Eukaryota; Metazoa; Chordata; Testudines; Emydidae.